AGGGAAACAGAAGUCUCAGACCUUUCUCCCACUCUUGAGACAAUAUUUCCCUCUCAAUUAAGAAAAAGAUAAGGUACUUUCUGGAAGAAAAAUGAAGUUGAGUUGAAGAAAGCGUACAAAAAAGAAAUCAGCUAUAUAAACCCUCCGUACCAUUAUCACAUGAAUUUCUCACAACAAAUGUUCAGUUCAGUUCAGUCUCUCAGUUGUGUCCGACUCUUUGCAACCCCAUGAACCGCAGCAUGCCAGGCCUCCCUGUCCAUCACCAACUCCCGGAGUCCAUCGAGUUGGUGAUGCCAUCCAACC
This is a long non-coding RNA of Bos taurus (domestic cattle), 303 nucleotides long. NCBI's taxonomy places the organism in Eukaryota, Metazoa, Chordata, Mammalia, Artiodactyla, Bovidae. The record is from Ensembl.